Molecule: ribosomal RNA, 644 nt
Filed under: uncultured bacterium
Lineage: Bacteria
Description: bacterial SSU rRNA
Rfam family: Bacterial small subunit ribosomal RNA
Source: RNAcentral
CGCGGCCUAUCAGCUUGUUGGUGGGGUGAUGGCCUACCAAGGCGACGACGGGUAGCCGGCCUGAGAGGGCGACCGGCCACACUGGGACUGAGACACGGCCCAGACUCCUACGGGAGGCAGCAGUGGGGAAUAUUGCGCAAUGGGCGGAAGCCUGACGCAGCGACGCCGCGUGGGGGAUGACGGCCUUCGGGUUGUAAACCUCUUUCGCCAGGGACGAAGCGCAAGUGACGGUACCUGGAUAAGAAGCACCGGCCAACUACGUGCCAGCAGCCGCGGUAAUACGUAGGGUGCGAGCGUUGUCCGGAAUUAUUGGGCGUAAAGAGCUCGUAGGCGGUCUGUCGCGUCGGUCGUGAAAACUUGGGGCUUAACCCUGAGCUUGCGGUCGAUACGGGCAUGACUGGAGUUCGGCAGGGGAGACUGGAAUUCCUGGUGUAGCGGUGAAAUGCGCAGAUAUCAGGAGGAACACCGGUGGCGAAGGCAGGUCUCUGGGCCGAUACUGACGCUGAGGAGCGAAAGCGUGGGGAGCGAACAGGAUUAGAUACCCUGGUAGUCCACGCCGUAAACGGUGGGCGCUAGGUGUGGGGGCCAUUCCACGGUCUCUGUGCCGCAGCUAACGCAUUAAGCGCCCCGCCUGGGGAGUACGG